GUGUUGUAUCUAGCGCAGACAAGAAUUAUUUCUUAGUCAGCGCCAGAGCAAUGUACUCGGUUCGUGUCGAGCUGUUACUGUGCUAGGUCUAGCAGCGUAAACUGCUGGAGCAGUUACUCUGCCCGGUGCAUAGCGUCGCGCGCGUUCUACUCAAGCGCCCGCCGCCGCGCCCGUGCCCGUUCAUGAGCUUAGUGUCGCGCUACAACACCACGUGCUCGCACUGCAGGCCACACAAGAGGACAGCAGCUGAGGGUCACUAUCAUGGUAUUUAUUGUGGAUCUUGUUAUACAGUAUUGAAUUUGACCAAUCUCAUGAUUUUAAUUAGAUAGUCUAAUUUAUUAUUUUAUAAGUAUUAUUAACAUGAAAAUAAACUUAUUUUGAAGCUUA
This is a long non-coding RNA of Ostrinia furnacalis (Asian corn borer), 387 nucleotides long. RefSeq lists it as uncharacterized. The transcript has 2 exons. The record is from RefSeq and is a predicted model, not a curated record. NCBI's taxonomy places the organism in Eukaryota, Metazoa, Arthropoda, Insecta, Lepidoptera, Crambidae.